UACAGAGGUGGCAAGCGUUGUUCGGAAUUACUGGGCGUAAAGGGCGCGUAGGCGGCCUUCUAAGUCAGACGUGAAAUCCCCCGGCUUAACCUGGGAACUGCGUCUGAUACUGGGAGGCUAGAGUAUGGGAGAGGGAUGUAGAAUUCCAGGUGUAGCGGUGAAAUGCGUAGAUAUCUGGAGGAAUACCGGUGGCGAAGGCGGCAUCCUGGACCAUUACUGACGCUGAAUCGCGAAAGCUAGGGGAGCAAACGGGG
This 254-nucleotide ribosomal RNA is filed under the name uncultured bacterium. RNAcentral's name for it is "partial 16S ribosomal RNA". It matches the Rfam family "Bacterial small subunit ribosomal RNA", at positions 524 to 777 of the family's 1533-position model. The record is from RNAcentral.